This 63-nucleotide transfer RNA is filed under the name Xiphinema pachtaicum. Its description in RNAcentral is "tRNA-Val". Lineage: Eukaryota; Metazoa; Nematoda; Enoplea; Dorylaimida; Longidoridae. The record is from RNAcentral.
UUAGGGCAAGUUUAGUUGAACCUGUCUUUUACAAAGACAAAGAUUUCCUUAAAGAGCUUUAUU